This 882-nucleotide ribosomal RNA is filed under the name Triticum aestivum (bread wheat). RNAcentral describes it as "partial small subunit ribosomal RNA". Lineage: Eukaryota; Viridiplantae; Streptophyta; Magnoliopsida; Poales; Poaceae. The record is from RNAcentral.
AUGGCUACCACCACCAAGCUUGCAGCUCUUGGCUUCGUUGUCCUUGUGAGCAUUGGAUUUGCCGAUGCUGCAAGGAUGCUCGCUAGCUCCUACAGUGCCUCAGGUGGUGGUGGUGGUGGGGGAGGCGGCGGUGGUGCGUCUGGUGGGAGUGGAUAUGGUAGAGGGUCUGGGUCAGGUGGAGGCUUAGGAUAUGGUGAGAGUGGUGGAGAUUGGGGUAACAAGUGGAACUUUGCCAAGGGAUCUGGUGGAGGGGGAGGAGCUGGUGGCGGCGGAGGAUCAACGGGUGGAUCUGGGUCUGGUUCCGGAUCCGGCUAUGGCUCUGGUAGCGGUGUGAGUGGAUCUGCGUCGGCUCCUAGUGGUAAUGGUUAUGCCAAUGCUGAUGGUAUGGGCGGGGGCGGGGGCGAAGGUGGUGGUGCAAAUGGGUCUAGUGGAACUGGAGUUGGAUCUGGCCUUGGCAAGGGAUAUGGUGAGAGUGGUGUGUCAAACGCACCGGCUCCUGUUGCCGGUGCUGAUGGUACCAGCUACUCUGAUGCUGGCGGUAGUGGUAACGGUGGUGGUGGCGGUAACAACGGAAAUGGAGGUGGUGUGGGCACUGGCGCUGGACAGGCCGGCAGCGACGACACUUCUGGAGGCUUUGCAAAUGGAGGAGGAAGUGGCAAUGGUGGCGGCGCAACUGGAGGUGCCACUGAAGGCCCAAGUGUUGGAGUUGGAUCUGGUGCUGGGUCUGGCGCUGGUCAGACCGGUAGCACUGGCUCUUAUGGCGAAGGCUAUGCUACAGGAAUUGGUGGUGGCAUGGGUGGCGGCAAUGGUGAGAGCCAGAAUGGCGGAACUGGCAGCGGUGGAGGCAGUGGAUCCGGAUCUGGUGGUGGUGGAUACCACUAA